RNAcentral lists this ribosomal RNA (292 nucleotides) under uncultured bacterium. RNAcentral's name for it is "partial 16S ribosomal RNA". The record is from RNAcentral.
GGACUACCCGGGUUUCUAAUCCUGUUUGCUCCCCACGCUUUCGCACCUCAGCGUCAAUAUCUGACCAGGUCGCCGCCUUCGCCACUGGUAUUCCUCCCGAUAUCUACGAAUUUCACCUCUACACCGAGAAUUCUGCGACCCUCUCCAGUAUUCAAGCCCUGCAGUUUCGAAUGCACUUCCUUGGUUAAGCCGAGGGAUUUCACAUCCGACGUACAGGGCCGCCUACGUGCGCUUUACGCCCAAUGAUUCCGAGCAACGUUUGCACCCUCCGUAUUACCGCGGCUGCUGGCAC